CAUAAAAAAAGAUCUGGAUUUUCUGCUGUCCAGUACAUGGAACUGUUGAGAAGUAUAGCUCAGACCAUCCAGCCUGGCCACUGGGUAGAGAAAACAGGUUUUGAUUUGGAGGCAUUUCUAGUACAGACACAUUACAUGAAUGACUGUGGGAUUUUUAUGCUGAUGGAUGAUAUGCCUCAGA
Long non-coding RNA from Paramormyrops kingsleyae, 181 nucleotides. RefSeq lists it as uncharacterized. The record is from RefSeq and is a predicted model, not a curated record. Lineage: Eukaryota; Metazoa; Chordata; Actinopteri; Osteoglossiformes; Mormyridae.